AGUAUGUGUCUCUUGCUUCAGUUUAUCCAUUGAUAUUCCUUGUUAAUUUGGAAAAGUUUGUUAAUUUGGUGAAUAUCUUGUAGUUUCAGGGCUAACUGCAACUCGAUCUGUGUAUAUUUUAGGUUAUAUAGAAGUUUAUACUACUUUUCUACUAGUUUAGCUAAUAGAAUGUUUUCAUUGGGUAAUUAUGCAUUUUGUGUACUUGUGCUGUGGGUAUAUAUAUGCUUUGGUUCCGCCGUUCCGGUCUUUAGUGGUCAUAUACUUUGGUUUUCAAAGCAGGAGCAAUCCGUUUCUUUUGCUCUAAUAUUUUAAUUAUCAGGUGUGGCAAUGUCAACUGGGC
RNAcentral lists this long non-coding RNA (340 nucleotides) under Brassica rapa (field mustard). RNAcentral describes it as "long non-coding RNA (BRAP_LNC007739)". The record is from RNAcentral. Lineage: Eukaryota; Viridiplantae; Streptophyta; Magnoliopsida; Brassicales; Brassicaceae.